Molecule: ribosomal RNA, 441 nt
Filed under: uncultured bacterium
Lineage: Bacteria
Description: partial 16S ribosomal RNA
Rfam family: Bacterial small subunit ribosomal RNA
Source: RNAcentral
CCUACGGGAGGCAGCAGUGGGGAAUAUUGGGCAAUGGGCGAAAGCCUGACCCAGCAACGCCGCGUGAAGGAAGAAGGCUUUCGGGUUGUAAACUUCUUUUGACAGGGAAGAGCAGAAGACGGUACCUGUCGAAUAAGCCACGGCUAACUACGUGCCAGCAGCCGCGGUAAUACGUAGGUGGCAAGCGUUAUCCGGAUUUAUUGGGUUUAAAGGGUGCGUAGGCGGAGCGUUAAGUCAGUGGUCAAAUUGAGGGGCUCAACCCCUUCCCGCCAUUGAAACUGGCGCUCUUGAGUGGAAGAGAAGUAUGCGGAAUGCGUGGUGUAGCGGUGAAAUGCAUAGAUAUCACGCAGAACCCCGAUUGCGAAGGCAGCAUGCCGGCUUCCUACUGACGCUGAAGCACGAAAGCGUGGGGAUCGAACAGGAUUAGAUACCCCAGUAGUC